UGAGCCGGUGAUGACAGCUGGUGGCGUGUGAGUCAUGGAUGGUGAGUACUAAGUGCCUGGAACUCUGAGGUUCAA
Small nucleolar RNA from Chlorocebus sabaeus (green monkey), 75 nucleotides. Ensembl annotates it as small nucleolar RNA, C/D box 114-31. Its record names the gene SNORD114-31. The record is from Ensembl. Lineage: Eukaryota; Metazoa; Chordata; Mammalia; Primates; Cercopithecidae.